This 1477-nucleotide long non-coding RNA is filed under the name Triticum aestivum (bread wheat). RNAcentral describes it as "long non-coding RNA (TAES_LNC007314)". Lineage: Eukaryota; Viridiplantae; Streptophyta; Magnoliopsida; Poales; Poaceae. The record is from RNAcentral.
UUUUUUUUUCGGGUAACAUACUCAAAUACUCAUUGUACACUACUUACCACGGAAUAAUAGAGUAGCCAAUUGAGUGAGAGAUGCCCUCGCCCUGCCUCCUGCCAGUGCAAACGCAACAAUGCCUAUCUCGGGUCAUCAGAUCAUGUGGGCGCCAUAUGGUUGGACUUGGGAGACGGGGGUUGGUGACGGGGACAGCUUGCCGCAACUGGUCGCUCUAGGAUUAGGGUCCCGAAAUACCAAACCUUGGAUGCAUUAGCAGGACGACCCAGCAGGUUUUUGUACUGGUGUCAGAAUUUAUCUACUGUUAUUACUGACCCACCAGCAUGUUUCUUCUCACACACAAGUUUAUCCCAAAUUCUACGAACAAUCACUGAUAAGUGGGUCCAGCCGUCGAUCAAAUUAUGUUCGUGCAAUCGUUUACAUAGCAGAGUUCUGUCCAGGCAGGAGCCACACAAUCGUGUACCUCGCCUGCAGUGGCCAGUUUCCUCUAUCGGCCGGGAGCACGCGAACGACCGAACUUUCCCUCCCUCACGGGCACAGCGGCUGACAAGAACGAGAGGCACGCACAGCGUCAUGUAGCGCUAGAAUCUUUCCUAGCCGGUGAACGUUGCCCCGGAAUCCCUGACAACACCAGCGGCUCGUGCCCACCCGGCCACCCACGCGGUACGCUUGCCUCCCCCUUCGGACGCGCCAUGCAUGUGCCGCCACCGGCGCUGGAGCCCAGCGUCGUACCUCCCUACGCCGCGCCCAAACAGUGCGUUCCACCGAUGUGCCCAAACAGUGCGUUCCACCGAUGUGCCCAAACAGUGCGUUCCACCGAUGAAAAUUGCGCGAGAUCACGAGCUCUUCGUCGUCUUUAUCCCCCGUGAAAGCUACGGCUACGAGCCUACGACGAGGUUGCUACUGCAACACGAGCGGCCAUGUACAUGCAUGCGACAGUGAUAGGAGUAGGAGCAAGUCGGAAUUUUAACGUCGUUGAAUUGAUCAUCAAUGGCAGGCGCGGUCCGCGCGGAUGGUCCAAGGAGACAAUAAUAAACGCUAAGCUAGCUACUCGCCCCCGAAUGGCGGAUGGGGCAGGGCGGGAGUACAAUGCUCGCGUGAGUCGUGUACCCGCCGCGGGCGAAACCUUCGUGACAACAAUGGGGGAAUAAAUUCCGACCGGUUUCCACCGCACACGGCACAGCGCAGUCACCCUGGCAAAUACGUACGCCGCCUCGCCCGCCUCUGUACAUCCCCGGUCAUCCUCGGUGCCGGAACGCCGGAGCCGUGCCGCGACGGGUUGGCGCGCCGGCCGCGCGGGAUCACAUGACGACGUCGGAGCGGUGGCCGCGCCCUCCGCGGCGGUGCCGGCGGUCGCCGCCGUACUUCAUCCCGUCCGGGCCGAACAAGCGCGGGAGCGCGGCGGCGUCACACUCUGACAGAGCGACCGGGUACCGGCGGCGGUCGUGGCAGUAGGAGUAGGACAUGUGCCCACGCC